UAUUUACAUCAUUAAUUAAUGCGAAAGGACAACAAUGAAAAUGGAAAAAUAUAUUUAGUUUUUAAUCUCUGCUUUAAAUAAUUUUUUGCGAUGGCAUAUUGAUAUUUCUUCGCACGAGAUUAAAAUAAAAAAUAUUUAACCUUCAGUUGAAUCGCUUUUGAAUAAUAAUAUGUAAAUCUUGUUAGGUUUGAUGAUUAAUGUAUUUCGAGAAAGCGCGGAAGAGCUUUAUUUGCCAAGAGGAUGUAUGCUUUUCUACGGGACUUUCUAAGGGAUAAUGCGCUUGUACGAAGACGCGAAAGUUACCUCGGAGCCAGUUCUUUCGCUUGCAUUUUGAGUCCGAAUGAAAUUGCUAGUCUUUAACGAUGUUACUUCUUGCCCGCUGGUUGGUUUUAUAUAAAUCUUAAAUACUUAUACAUAAGCUAAUUAUCCCUUGAAAUGAGUAAUAUUUAUAUAAUGCUAAUAAAACAGUACAUUUCAUUAGCUUCAUUUACUUAUUAGACGAGAAAAAUAUUAAAAAGAGCAAACUUUGUUCAAUUUCUGAUAUAAACGGCUGCAAUCCGUUAACGCCUAUCUUGACUUUCGGUUUAAGUUUGGUUUUGAAGAUAAUGUUUCCGUUGUGAGCUGCUACUAUCAAAGGCUAGUACUGAUAAGCAGUCGAGUGUAUGAACUUGAGAGAUAAGUGGUAUUUUCUGACUAAGUGGUCUACUAUGCUGAAUAUGCACACAGCAUGCAAAGCAAGUUAGUGUUUUAAACAAUUAUGCUGCAGAAAGCAUGCAAUAUAGAUAGAUAACUAUUAGGCUGCUUGUCGCAUGAGAGGAUAGUUUUGAAAGAAACGAUAUAGCACAUGCACAUUCGGGUGACAUGACAUGACUCAGUAGGAGGAAUCAAAGCCAAGAACUUAUCACCACCUCCUUGUAGUAAUGAUGAAGAAAAGUAUGCUGAUUUACCAGCUGAAGGAACAUGUUUAUUACAUCUGGGACAAGAUAAAACUUUUUAAAAAAAUUAUUAAGCACUGCAAAUUAUACUAUUUAAUAAAUAUGAGUUUGACAUUAUAA
RNAcentral lists this unclassified non-coding RNA (1055 nucleotides) under Stegodyphus dumicola. RNAcentral's name for it is "putative exonuclease GOR, transcript variant X1". Lineage: Eukaryota; Metazoa; Arthropoda; Arachnida; Araneae; Eresidae. The record is from RNAcentral.